This is a long non-coding RNA of Solanum dulcamara, 212 nucleotides long. RefSeq lists it as uncharacterized. NCBI's taxonomy places the organism in Eukaryota, Viridiplantae, Streptophyta, Magnoliopsida, Solanales, Solanaceae. The transcript has 3 exons. The record is from RefSeq and is a predicted model, not a curated record.
AAAUGACAAGAGAAAGAAAGAAGAGAAGAGAAGAGAAACUUAGGCUAGAAAGAAGAAAGAGCUACGGUUUUGGGAGGAAAAAAAGGUUCAAGAGACGACGAGGCGAGCAUAGUUAAGAGUAAUCCGUAAGAGGUACAGACGAUUGGUUUGCUGAUCCGCUCGCUUAGGACAUCCACCAUGUUGGUCGACAGUGCUCCUUUGUUCGGAGUCCU